This is a small nucleolar RNA of Psammomys obesus (fat sand rat), 141 nucleotides long. RefSeq annotates it as small nucleolar RNA SNORA48. The record is from RefSeq and is a predicted model, not a curated record. NCBI's taxonomy places the organism in Eukaryota, Metazoa, Chordata, Mammalia, Rodentia, Muridae. The transcript has a single exon.
ACCCCCUGGCAGAUGACCAGAGACACCUUGUUGGUGGUGUUGUGCUUACAUCAGUCGGGAAGAGCAGAUGGCACUCCUUUGUUCAUCCUAGCUUGAUUCCUCGCCUUGUGGCCAAAGCUGUCUCAUGCCUAGGACUCAUAA